RNAcentral lists this ribosomal RNA (287 nucleotides) under uncultured Spirochaeta sp. RNAcentral's name for it is "partial 16S ribosomal RNA". It matches the Rfam family "Bacterial small subunit ribosomal RNA", at positions 1096 to 1382 of the family's 1533-position model. Lineage: Bacteria; Pseudomonadati; Spirochaetota; Spirochaetia; Spirochaetales; Spirochaetaceae. The record is from RNAcentral.
GCGCAACCCCUGCUAUCUGUUGCCAGCAAGUAAUGUUGGGGACUCAGAUGGAACUGCCGGUGACAAACCGGAGGAAGGUGGGGACGACGUCAAGUCAUCAUGGCCCUUAUGUCCUGGGCUACACACGUGCUACAAUGGCCGGUACAGAGCGCAGCGAAGCCGCGAGGCAAAGCGAAUCGCUAAAAGCCGGUCUCAGUACGGAUUGGAGUCUGAAACCCGACUCCAUGAAGUUGGAAUCGCUAGUAAUCGCGCAUCAGCAUGGCGCGGUGAAUACGUUCCCGGGCCUU